AUUGAACGCUGGCGGCAUGCCUAACACAUGCAAGUCGAACGGCAGCACGGCAGUAGCAAUACUGUGGGUGGCGAGUGGCGGACGGGUGAGGAAUACGUCGGAAUCUGCCCAGUCGUGGGGGAUAACUAGCCGAAAGGUUAGCUAAUACCGCAUACGACCGAGAGGUGAAAGCGGGGGACCGCAAGGCCUCGCGCGAUUGGAUGAGCCGACGUCGGAUUAGCUAGUUGGUGGGGUAAAGGCCACCAAGGCGACGAUCCGUAGCUGGUCUGAGAGGAUGAUCAGCCACACUGGAACUGAGACACGGUCCAGACUCCUACGGGAGGCAGCAGUGGGGAAUAUUGGACAAUGGGCGCAAGCCUGAUCCAGCAAUGCCGCGUGUGUGAGAAGGCCUCGGUUGUAAG
This 401-nucleotide ribosomal RNA is filed under the name uncultured bacterium. RNAcentral describes it as "bacterial SSU rRNA". It matches the Rfam family "Bacterial small subunit ribosomal RNA", at positions 29 to 429 of the family's 1533-position model. The record is from RNAcentral.